UGGCUCUGGCAUCGAUGAAGAACGCAGCGAAAUGCGAUAACUAGUGUGAAUUGCAGACCUCAUGAAUCAUCGAAUCUUUGAACGCACAUUGCGCCCGCCGGUACUCCGGCGGGCAUGCCUGUCCGAGCGUCAUUGACAACCCUCAGGCCCUGGUGCCUGGUGUUGGGGCACUACAGCAUGCUGUAGGCCCUGAAAUCCAGUGGCGGGACCGCUGUAAACCCGGGCGUAGUAACAUUACGUCGUCCAGGGUGUUCCGGCGCGCCCCAGCCGUUAAAACCCCACCAUAUUAUCAAUUUUGGCCUCGGAUCAGGUAGGAUUACCCGCUGA
This 327-nucleotide unclassified non-coding RNA is filed under the name uncultured fungus. Its description in RNAcentral is "partial contains 5.8S ribosomal RNA and internal transcribed spacer 2". The stretch from base 1 to 132 matches the Rfam family "5.8S ribosomal RNA", at positions 22 to 154 of the family's 154-position model. Lineage: Eukaryota; Fungi. The record is from RNAcentral.